UAGAGUUUGAUCCUGGCUCAGGACGAACGCUGGCGGCGUGCCUAAUACAUGCAAGUCGAGCGGACAGAUGGGAGCUUGCUCCCUGAUGUUAGCGGCGGACGGGUGAGUAACACGUGGGUAACCUGCCUGUAAGACUGGGAUAACUCCGGGAAACCGGGGCUAAUACCGGAUGGUUGUUUGGACCGCAUGGUUCAGACAUAAAAGGUGGCUUCGGCUACCACUUACAGAUGGACCCGCGGCGCAUUAGCUAGUUGGUGAGGUAACGGCUCACCAAGGCGACGAUGCGUAGCCGACCUGAGAGGGUGAUCGGCCACACUGGGACUGAGACACGGCCCAGACUCCUACGGGAGGCAGCAGUAGGGAAUCUUCCGCAAUGGACGAAAGUCUGACGGAGCAACGCCGCGUGAGUGAUGAAGGUUUUCGGAUCGUAAAGCUCUGUUGUUAGGGAAGAACAAGUGCCGUUCAAAUAGGGCGGCACCUUGACGGUACCUAACCAGAAAGCCACGGCUAACUACGUGCCAGCAGCCGCGGUAAUACGUAGGUGGCAAGCGUUGUCCGGAAUUAUUGGGCGUAAAGGGCUCGCAGGCGGUUUCUUAAGUCUGAUGUGAAAGCCCCCGGCUCAACCGGGGAGGGUCAUUGGAAACUGGGGAAC
Molecule: ribosomal RNA, 652 nt
Filed under: Bacillus subtilis
Lineage: Bacteria; Bacillati; Bacillota; Bacilli; Caryophanales; Bacillaceae
Description: bacterial SSU rRNA
Rfam family: Bacterial small subunit ribosomal RNA
Source: RNAcentral